RNAcentral lists this long non-coding RNA (783 nucleotides) under Gallus gallus (chicken). RNAcentral describes it as "lncRNA (ENSGALG00010015007.1)". The record is from RNAcentral. Lineage: Eukaryota; Metazoa; Chordata; Aves; Galliformes; Phasianidae.
ACUGAACAAAGAAUAAAGGGACUGCAGAGUAGUACCAGAUAGCUACUAGGCAAUGUGAUUUCUGCAGAGAAAAAGAAACAGGCAUGACAGUCACAGGCUGCGGUAGCUGAGUGAAUGAAAGCCUGUCUGAGAGCUAACAAAAGGAAUUGUUCAUUAUCAGACAUCAGCAAAGAAAACAAAAAUGAAACAAUCCCGGGACAUUUUCUCUAGGCACAGAGGUACGUCAGCAGCCUAUCCACCUUUGAUUCUUCAUCAAUAAGGGAAUGCAGGAUGCAAAUUGCCACACUCUGAGGCAGCUACCAUGCUGUGGAAGAAAACAUGGUAGUAUUUCACAAACAUUGCUACUCUAAGGUAAAUACCAUCACAAACCCCUGGUUGUGGAUCUUGAAUCUCAACUAAGAGAUAAGGAAGAUGGGCUUCAAUCAAUGAUAAGAGUCUUUUCAGAAGAAUGUACCUAAUUACAACUCUUUCAACUAAAUCAACAAUGCAGUUGGAUAAUUACAGUGUAGCAGAGCUAGAUAAAUCAGAGCCUCUAAAAACAGUACUUUUCAAAUAAGAAAACUGAGACAGUUUCAAGAUACCUCUUACUUAUCAAUUAAAGACUAAGUGUGAAAACCACAGGUUUUCUGGUCUCAGUAAUCAGUCAUCAAACACCACCGUGAAGAAACGGUUGCUGACUGUAGUAGCUGACUGCCCCAAACCAAGGAAUGGAUGGAAGGAGGACAGAAUUCAGCAACUCAGAGUUGCAUGCUCAUUUUAACAAAUAAAAACUUUUAUCUGGUG